Molecule: long non-coding RNA, 4009 nt
Organism: Brassica napus (rape)
Lineage: Eukaryota; Viridiplantae; Streptophyta; Magnoliopsida; Brassicales; Brassicaceae
Exons: 3
Source: RefSeq, a predicted model, not a curated record
UACAAACUCUUUUUAAAAGUUUUAUAAAAUUCAGAAAUUGUUUUUAGUAAUUUUUAUAAAUGAUUUAUAAACUCUUAUUAAUUAUUUAUAUAUCCUUAUAAACCAUUAUAAACAAUUUUACAAACUCUUAUAAAUUGUUUCUAUAAGUCCUUAUAAAUUACUGUAGACUCUUAUAAAUGAUUUAAGAGACUUUCUAAUUAGUUCCUAAACCUAUAAACCUUAUAAAUUGAAUACAUAACCCAUAUUAAUUGUGUAUAUACUUUCAUAACGUUUUUAUAAACAAUUAUAAAUGGUUUAUAGACUUUAUUAAUUGUUUUAUAAACCUUUAUAAAUGUAAACAUUUAUAAAUGGUUUUGAGACUCUUACAAAUAAUAUAUAACCCUUUAUAAAUAGCUUAUAAACUUUACAAACUGUUUUAUAUAUUUUUAUAAAUUAUUUAUAAACUUUUAUUUUCUCUUAAGCUUUCUUUUCUCUUUAUUUUUAGCUUCUUUCAUGUUAUUGCCCUACAUCAUAUACUGCAAAAAGUAAAACCACAAAUCCUCGUUCCCCUUAGCUUUUCUUCAUUUUAUAUCCUUGUUAAACUAAUUGCACAACACUGUAAAAAUCCAUGUCAUCCAAGAUCAGGAUGUGUUGGGGUCACCAAAUGUUUGUAUUCCUCAGAGAAUCCAAAUAAUGUAUUAACCACAAGAUGUAACAAAGAAUAAACAACGUAUUAUAAGUCUCUCUAAUUUAUAAAUUUAUAAACCCCUAUAAAACUACAUUUAUAAUCGUUUAUAAAACACUUAACAUUAUUGACCAAGACACCGAUUAGAUAAUCACUUUUGGAUUGUCUAGUGGUUCUGUUCCAGCUUCAUAAAUCCUUGGAGGCAAUCAUGAAGAUGUGCAAGAUUCAUUGCUGUCUAACUGCAAGACGAAAUAAAAAGAUGAUGUUAAUUUUUAAUCGUGGUAUAAAGAUACCUUAUCCAAGCAUAAUGUUCAUGUAUUUCGGUAACAGUCUUACAAAUAACACAGCACAAGACUUCUCGAGUUCACACGUUUAUAUGUUGUUCUAUAGACAUAUAUGAUGAAUUCUUGUUUAAGAACUUCUUUUAUAAAACCUUGUAAAUCGGUGAGCUGUACUAUCAACAAUAUCCUAAAAUACAGAUUUAUAAGGGGUUAUAAUUCCUUAAUAUGCAAUGUACUAUCGGAAAAUCUCUCUCUUUACCGGAACUAUUCAGAUGACAAGUCCAAAUCAACCGUAUUCUAUUUUUGGAUAAACAGAAGGAAGAAAAUCCUAAAAUUACUUGAAACCCAGAUUUAUAAAGGAUUUUAAGUUGUCAAAAAAACUUCUUGAUAAAAAACUUCUUUUAUAAAAUCUUGUAAAUCGUUGAGUUGUAUUAUCAACAAUAUCCCAAAACCCAUAUUUAUAAAGAGUUAUAAUUCCUUAAUAUACAAUGUUCACUAUCGAAAAAUCUCUCUCUUAGCAGGGACCAUUCAAAUGACAAGUCCAAAUUAACCGUAUUCUAUUUUUGGAUAACAUAAAGGAGAAACCCCUAAAAUUACUUGAAACCCAAAUUUAUAAAGGGUUUUAAGUUGUCAAAACUCAAUAUUGUUCACUAUGGAAAUUGUUUCUCUUAUAUCGACAUGUUCAAAUGAGAAGUCUAAAGCAAACUUUUUUGAUUUUUUGAUAAGAGAAAGAACAAAAUCAAAUAUUUACUCGAUACAAACAAAAGAAUACAAAAAUUAGAGACAUACGAGUUGUGAAUCUUGAACAGGAAUCAACAUUUGAAGGCUUUGAAUCGCGAUUCUCUGUAAUCCGUUUUCGUCGCCGGUUGUGUGAGAGAGAGAGAUGGCGGAUCUCGACGGAGACGGCGGAUCUCGACGGAGACGGCGGAUCUCGACGGUAAGUCCAAGAGAAGAUGGAUCUCAAAAAGAGAGAGGAAAAGUCGAUGAUUGAGGAGAAGAUAAGGUAAGGGUACUAUUGUCUUUUGUUCAUUAAUGAAAGUGGUAUUUAUGAAAAUGUCCCUAAAUUAGUGGUAAAAUUGAAUAGUGGUAUCAAACAAAGUGUAAAAGUAAAAUUUCCCCUAGAUUCUUUUUGGUUAUUUUUGUUAAUAAUAUAUUUGAUUUUCUCAUAUAUGAAAAUACAAAGAUUUACAAAUAUUUUCAUAACUGCACUCUUCUGGAGAAGAAAAAGAAAAAUACCACAGAUUUAUUUGAUUUGAAAUGAAACAUUACAUGAAGAAAACAGAAACAGAAAAAAAAAAACAAAGAAGAAGAUACAAGAGUAGUCUGUAAAAGGGGAACACUACAACGGUACGAACUGAAUGUCAAAGGCAUAGUCGUUCGACAAUAUCAACCUCUGUAUACCAGAAUCUAGAGAAUCUAAACCGAUAGCCGUUGGUUUGUCAGCACUUCCGAAAGCAAACUGGUAUGAUACGCCAGACUUUUUUAUGGUGAAUGUGGUGUCAUUGCUUGACUUGGAUCCCGUCAAUACUAUUUCUCUGAUUGGCAAUGAGCUGUCUGCAACUCUCCAAUAACCCGACUCCUCGCAGUGAUUGGGAAAUUGGAAACGGAUUUUAAGCUCUGUUGACACACGUACCACAUCUGAAUCUGAUGACGUUGGUAUAAAUGUAACUUGUGAAUUUAUCAUUCGUAGUUCCCUUCCAUAAGAGAGCAAUACCACUCUUUGCGGGCAUGAAAAGCCAGAAGUUUCGAUGCUCCCGUAACGACAAAUCAGGGCAUUUGCUCCCGGUCGUUCGAAGUAGGCGUGAUACGGAGCAUAAAACUCAACUGGCCUCCCGAUAGUAUCAAGCACUAUUUCCUUCUCACCAGAAACAAAACCAGAUGCUGUUAUUGCAACCAGCAAGAAAGAUACCAUCAAACGGAAUAUUGUAGUUGCGCCACCAGCUGUUUUCAUCAUCAUCUCGUUUCUUGCUUUGUAAUAUGAGCGAUUUACACUCUAAGGCAGUUUACAAGUUUUAUUAUCACUCUAGAGCAGUUUGUGCUACUAGAGCAGUUUUUUGGUGAAAAGACUCAAAAUGCCCUCUUAAAAGUGUAACUAGUAAGUUAUUUUUUAGUUAGAAGAUUUUGGUUUGAUUAGAUUUUCGAAAUUCAAAAUUAGUGAUGGAUCCCAUAAAAGAUUAAACCUAAUUUUAUAUACAUAACUAGUAAAGUACCUUUUGUAUAUCUUCUCGUCUUCUUAGUUCUUUUUUUCUUUUCAAAUCUGGUUAUGCUAUUUUUUUUCCCGACGAUUGACUUUACAAUCCCUAAAAUCACUAGUCAUCCAAUUCUCAGAAAGUUGCUCAAAGAAGAAGCGAGACAACGGUGAAUUAUGGCAAAUGAGAAUCUCAGAAAGUUGCUCGGAGAAGGAUGUCGAGGAUACGCAACCGGCGUGGGAAAGAGAAGGACGGCGGAGCAGAAACGAUGGAGGCUGAUGAUGUUUUGGUGGUGAGAGACGCACUAAACGGAACGUCGGAGAUGUCUACCGAGCCGCCAGUGGUGGAAGAAUCCGACGAGCGACUACCGCCAGUGGUGGAAGAAUCUCAAGCACCAAUGGUCAAUUUUGACUUUUUUUGCACAUUUAAUCUUUCAGCUUUUGUAUAAUUUAGUUUUGGAGUACUCUUUGAUGAUAAUGUACACAUGUACACUCUGAUGGAUACAUCGGUUAAGGUGGACGUAUUAAAAAAAAAAACAAAAUGGCUAGUCAAGAAGAAGAUUGUACAUUCAUAUAUAUCUUGUACACGUACGCACUCUAAUAUAGUUGUCCACAUGAAACUGUGUAUGGUGGAUAUAUCAAAAAGAUAACAAAUAUGGCUUAACAUAUUUGAUGAUAAUGUACACAUGUACACUCUGAUACAGCGUGUAAAGUGGACAUAUUUGAAAAAAGAAAAAUACAAGAAUGGCUCAUCAAGAAAAAUAUUGUACACUCAGAUAUAUAUCUUGUACACGUACACAGUCAGAUAUAGUUGUCCACAUGAAAGUAUGUAAGCUGGAUAUUUCAAAAAGAUAACAAAUGUGGCUUUACAAAGAA